UCAAAUACCAGUUCUUAUUUGAUCACCAAAGUUAAGCAGUGUAAAGCCUGGUCAGUACUUAGAUGUGUGACCACUUGGGAACACUAGGUACUGUAA
Molecule: non-coding RNA, 96 nt
Organism: Acanthosepion pharaonis
Lineage: Eukaryota; Metazoa; Mollusca; Cephalopoda; Sepiida; Sepiidae
Source: the annotation of a GenBank genome assembly